Molecule: ribosomal RNA, 492 nt
Filed under: uncultured bacterium
Lineage: Bacteria
Description: partial 16S ribosomal RNA
Rfam family: Bacterial small subunit ribosomal RNA
Source: RNAcentral
AGUGAACGCUGGCGGUAGGCCUAACACAUGCAAGUCGAACGGCAGCACAGUAAGAGCUUGCUCUUACGGGUGGCGAGUGGCGGACGGGUGAGGAAUACAUCGGAAUCUACUUUUUCGUGGGGGAUAACGUAGGGAAACUUACGCUAAUACCGCAUACGACCUACGGGUGAAAGCAGGGGAUCUUCGGACCUUGCGCGAGUGAAUGAGCCGAUGUCGGAUUAGCUAGUUGGCGGGGUAAAGGCCCACCAAGGCGACGAUCCGUAGCUGGUCUGAGAGGAUGAUCCGCCACACUGGAACUGAGACACGGUCCAGACACCUACGGGAGGCAGCAGUGGGGAAUAUUGGACAAUGGGCGCAAGCCUGAUCCAGCCAUACCGCGUGGGUGAAGAAGGCCUUCGGGUUGUAAAGCCCUUUUGUUGGGAAAGAAAAGCAGCAGGUUAAUACCCCGCUGUUCUGACGGUACCCAAAGAAUAAGCACCGGCUAACUUCGUG